CCCUUAGAUGUUCUGGGCCGCACGCGUGCUACACUGAGUGGAUCAGCGGGUCAGGUUACGCGAGAGCGUUUCCUAAUCUUCAAAUCCGCUCGUGAUGGGGAUUGACGGUUGCAAUUUUCCAUCAUGAACGAGGAAUACCUUGUAAGCGCGGGUCAUCAUCCCGCGCUGAAUACGUCCCUGCCCUUUGUACACACCGCCCGUCGCUCCUACCGAUUGAGUGGUCCGGUGAGGCUUUGGGAUCUAAGCGAAAAGAGCGUUUCGCUCCUUUUGCUGGGAGAACUCAGUCGAACCUUAUCAUUUAGAGGAAGGAGAAGUCGUAACA
This 322-nucleotide ribosomal RNA is filed under the name uncultured eukaryote. RNAcentral's name for it is "partial 18S ribosomal RNA". It matches the Rfam family "Eukaryotic small subunit ribosomal RNA", at positions 1470 to 1796 of the family's 1831-position model. The record is from RNAcentral.